This 834-nucleotide ribosomal RNA is filed under the name uncultured Flavobacteriia bacterium. Its description in RNAcentral is "bacterial SSU rRNA". It matches the Rfam family "Bacterial small subunit ribosomal RNA", at positions 72 to 902 of the family's 1533-position model. The record is from RNAcentral. Lineage: Bacteria; Pseudomonadati; Bacteroidota; Flavobacteriia.
GGGGGUAGCAAUACCUGCCGGCGACCGGCAAACGGGUGCGGAACACGUACGCAACCUUCCCAGAACAGGUGAAUAGCCCUCCGAAAGGAGGAUUAAUACACCGUAAGAUAUAGAGAUGGCAUCAUUUUUAUAUAAUAGGCAGCAAUGUCGGUUUUGGAUGGGCGUGCGGCUGAUUAGGUAGUUGGCGGGGUAACGGCCCACCAAGCCUCCGAUCAGUAACUGGUGUGAGAGCACGACCAGUCACACGGGCACUGAGACACGGGCCCGACUCCUACGGGAGGCAGCAGUAAGGAAUAUUGGUCAAUGGACGCAAGUCUGAACCAGCCAUGCCGCGUGAAGGAUGAAGGCCCUCUGGGUUGUAAACUUCUUUUAUCUGGGACGAAAAAAGGGGAUUCUUCCUCACUUGACGGUACCAGAGGAAUAAGCACCGGCUAACUCCGUGCCAGCAGCCGCGGUAAUACGGAGGGUGCAAGCGUUAUCCGGAUUUACUGGGUUUAAAGGGUGCGUAGGUGGGCAGGUAAGUCAGUGGUGAAAUCUUCAAGCUUAACUUGGAAACUGCCAUUGAUACUAUUUGUCUUGAAUUAUCUGGAGGUAAGCGGAAUAUGUCAUGUAGCGGUGAAAUGCUUAGAUAUGACAUAGUACACCCAUUGCGAAGGCAGCUUACUACGGAUAUAUUGACACUGAGGCACGAAAGCGUGGGGAUCAAACAGGAUUAGAUACCCUGGUAGUCCACGCCCUAAACGAUGGAUACUCGACAUCAGCGAUACACAGUUGGUGUCUGAGCGAAAGCAUUAAGUAUCCCACCUGGGAAGUACGACCGCAAGGUUGAAACUC